UACAGAGGGGGCAAGCGUUGUUCGGAAUUACUGGGCGUAAAGGGCGCGUAGGCGGCCUUCUAAGUCGAACGUGAAAUCCCUGGGCUCAACCCAGGAACUGCGUCCGAUACUGGAUGGCUUGAAUCCGGGAGAGGGAUGCAGAAUUCCAGGUGUAGCGGUGAAAUGCGUAGAUAUCUGGAGGAAUACCGGUGGCGAAGGCGGCAUCCUGGACCGGCAUUGACGCUGAUGAGCGAAAGCUAGGGGAGCAAACGGG
Molecule: ribosomal RNA, 253 nt
Filed under: uncultured bacterium
Lineage: Bacteria
Description: partial 16S ribosomal RNA
Rfam family: Bacterial small subunit ribosomal RNA
Source: RNAcentral